Molecule: ribosomal RNA, 481 nt
Filed under: uncultured bacterium
Lineage: Bacteria
Description: bacterial SSU rRNA
Rfam family: Bacterial small subunit ribosomal RNA
Source: RNAcentral
GACGAACGCUGGCGGCGUGCUUAACACAUGCAAGUCGAACGGAAAGGCCCUUCGGGGUGCUCGAGUGGCGAACGGGUGAGUAACACGUGGGUGAUCUGCCCUGCACUUCGGGAUAAGCCUGGGAAACUGGGUCUAAUACCGGAUAGGACCAUGGCAUGCAUGUGCUGUGGUGGAAAGCUUUUGCGGUGUGGGAUGGGCCCGCGGCCUAUCAGCUUGUUGGUGAGGUUACGGCUCACCAAGGCGACGACGGGUAGCCGGCCUGAGAGGGUGACCGGCCACACUGGGACUGAGAUACGGCCCAGACUCCUACGGGAGGCAGCAGUGGGGAAUAUUGCACAAUGGGCGCAAGCCUGAUGCAGCGACGCCGCGUGGGGGAUGACGGCCUUCGGGUUGUAAACCUCUUUCAGCACAGACGAAGCGCAAGUGACGGUAUGUGCAGAAGAAGCACCGGCCAACUACGUGCCAGCCGCCGCUGUAAAAC